This is a non-coding RNA of Agrilus planipennis (emerald ash borer), 236 nucleotides long. The record is from Rfam. NCBI's taxonomy places the organism in Eukaryota, Metazoa, Arthropoda, Insecta, Coleoptera, Buprestidae.
AAGUAGCUUAUUCUUUUAACGUUUAAGACAAUCGAUCUGCGGUUCAAUAAACUAUAUAAUUCAGCAAUACAAAUCAAUCAUUAUUUCGGCUGAAGAGGACCUUCAUUGGUCCUAGAACGGCCUAAGGUAGAGGGAUUUUAGUCGGUAGGUCCGAGGACUUGAUCCUCGGGAAUCCGACACUACCCAGUCGUACGGACGGCUGGGUGUCUUUUGAAGAUUUCCCCUCAUCCACGAAA